AACGAACGCUGGCGGCAGGCCUAACACAUGCAAGUCGAACAUCCUAGCAAUAGGGAGUGGCAGACGGGUGAGUAACACGUGGGAACCUUCCCUAUAGUACGGAAUAGCCCAGGGAAACUUGGAGUAAUACCGUAUACGCCCGAAAGGGGAAAGAUUUAUCGCUAUAGGAUGGGCCCGCGUCGGAUUAGCUAGUUGGUGAGGUAAUGGCUCACCAAGGCAACGAUCCGUAGCUGGUUUGAGAGAAUGACCAGCCACACUGGGACUGAGACACGGCCCAGACUCCUACGGGAGGCAGCAGUGGGGAAUCCUGGACAAUGGGCGCAAGCCUGAUCCAGCCAUGCCGCGUGAGUGAUGAAGGCCUUAGGGUUGUAAAGCUCUUUUGUCGGGGACGAUAAUGACGGUACCCGAAGAAUAAGCUCCGGCUAACUUCGUGCCAGCAGCCGCGGUAA
Molecule: ribosomal RNA, 449 nt
Filed under: uncultured bacterium
Lineage: Bacteria
Description: partial 16S ribosomal RNA
Rfam family: Bacterial small subunit ribosomal RNA
Source: RNAcentral